This 254-nucleotide ribosomal RNA is filed under the name uncultured bacterium. RNAcentral's name for it is "partial 16S ribosomal RNA". It matches the Rfam family "Bacterial small subunit ribosomal RNA", at positions 524 to 776 of the family's 1533-position model. The record is from RNAcentral.
UACGGGGGGAGCAAGCGUUGUUCGGAUUUACUGGGCGUAAAGGGCGCGUAGGCGGCCAGCACAAGUCGGUUGUGAAAUCUCCGAGCUUAACUCGGAAAGGUCAACUGAUACUGUGCGGCUAGAGUGCGGAAGGGGCAACUGGAAUUCUUGGUGUAGCGGUGAAAUGCGUAGAUAUCAAGAGGAACACCUGCGGCGAAGGCGGGUUGCUGGGCCGACACUGACGCUGAGGCGCGAAAGCUAGGGGAGCGAACGGG